GGGUGGUAAUGCCGGAUGCUCCAGUUGACCGCAUGGUCCUCUGGGAAAGCUUUUGCGGUAUGGGAUGGGGUCGCGUCCUAUCAGCUUGAUGGCGGGGUAACGGCCCACCAUGGCUUCGACGGGUAGCCGGCCUGAGAGGGCGACCGGCCACAUUGGGACUGAGAUACGGCCCAGACUCCUACGGGAGGCAGCAGUGGGGAAUAUUGCACAAUGGGCGCAAGCCUGAUGCAGCGACGCCGCGUGCGGGAUGACGGCCUUCGGGUUGUAAACCGCUUUUGACUGGGAGCAAGCCCUUCGGGGUGAGUGUACCUUUCGAAUAAGCACCGGCUAACUACGUGCCAGCAGCCGCGGUAAUACGUAGGGUGCAAGCGUUAUCCGGAAUUAUUGGGCGUAAAGGGCUCGUAGGCGGUUCGUCGCGUCCGGUGUGAAAGUCCAUCGCUUAACGGUGGAUCCGCGCCGGGUACGGGCGGGCUUGAGUGCGGUAGGGGAGACUGGAAUUCCCGGUGUAACGGUGGAAUGUGUAGAUAUCGGAAAAAAAACACCA
RNAcentral lists this ribosomal RNA (544 nucleotides) under Bifidobacterium adolescentis. RNAcentral describes it as "partial 16S ribosomal RNA". It matches the Rfam family "Bacterial small subunit ribosomal RNA", at positions 158 to 711 of the family's 1533-position model. The record is from RNAcentral. Lineage: Bacteria; Bacillati; Actinomycetota; Actinomycetes; Bifidobacteriales; Bifidobacteriaceae.